CAUUACCGAGUGAGGGCCCUCUGGGUCCAACCUCCCACCCGUGUUUAUUUUACCUUGUUGCUUCGGCGAGCCUGCCUUUUGGCUGCCGGGGGACGUCUGUCCCCGGGUCCGCGCUCGCCGAAGACACCUUAGAACUCUGUCUGAAGAUUGUAGUCUGAGAUUAAAUAUAAAUUAUUUAAAACUUUCAACAACGGAUCUCUUGGUUCCGGCAUCGAUGAAGAACGCAGCGAAAUGCGAUACGUAAUGUGAAUUGCAGAAUUCAGUGAAUCAUCGAGUCUUUGAACGCACAUUGCGCCCUCUGGUAUUCCGGAGGGCAUGCCUGUCCGAGCGUCAUUGCUGCCCUCAAGCACGGCUUGUGUGUUGGGCUCCGUCCUCCUUCCGGGGGACGGGCCCGAAAGGCAGCGGCGGCACCGCGUCCGGUCCUCAAGCGUAUGGGGCUUUGUCACCCGCUUUGUAGGACUGGCCGGCGCCUGCCGAUCAACCAAACUUUUUUCCAGGUUGACCUCGGAUCAGGUAGGGAUACCCGCUGAACUUAAGCAUAUCAAUAAGCGGAGGAAAAGAAACCAACAGGGAUUGCCCCAGUAACGGCGAGUGAAGCGGCAAGAGCUCAAAUUUGAAAGCUGGCUCCUUCGGGGUCCGCAUUGUAAUUUGCAGAGGAUGCUUCGGGAGCGGUCCCCAUCUAAGUGCCCUGGAACGGGACGUCAUA
This 706-nucleotide ribosomal RNA is filed under the name fungal endophyte. Its description in RNAcentral is "eukaryotic LSU rRNA". The stretch from base 180 to 333 matches the Rfam family "5.8S ribosomal RNA". The record is from RNAcentral. Lineage: Eukaryota; Fungi.